RNAcentral lists this ribosomal RNA (456 nucleotides) under uncultured Rhodocyclaceae bacterium. RNAcentral's name for it is "bacterial SSU rRNA". It matches the Rfam family "Bacterial small subunit ribosomal RNA", at positions 925 to 1382 of the family's 1533-position model. Lineage: Bacteria; Pseudomonadati; Pseudomonadota; Betaproteobacteria; Rhodocyclales; Rhodocyclaceae. The record is from RNAcentral.
ACAAGCGGUGGAUGAUGUGGAUUAAUUCGAUGCAACGCGAAAACCUUACCUACCUUGACAUGUCCGGAAUCCCGAAGAGAUUUGGGAGUGCUCGCAAGAGAACCGGAACACAGGUGCUGCAUGGCUGUCGUCAGCUCGUGUCGUGAGAUGUUGGGUUAAGUCCCGCAACGAGCGCAACCCUUGUCAUUAGUUGCCAUCAUUUGGUUGGGCACUCUAAUGAGACUGCCGGUGACAAACCGGAGGAAGGUGGGGAUGACGUCAAGUCCUCAUGGCCCUUAUGGGUAGGGCUUCACACGUCAUACAAUGGUCGGUACAGAGGGUUGCCAACCCGCGAGGGGGAGCUAAUCCCACAAAGCCGAUCGUAGUCCGGAUCGCAGUCUGCAACUCGACUGCGUGAAGUCGGAAUCGCUAGUAAUCGUGGAUCAGCAUGUCACGGUGAAUACGUUCCCGGGUCUU